RNAcentral lists this ribosomal RNA (256 nucleotides) under uncultured bacterium. RNAcentral describes it as "partial 16S ribosomal RNA". It matches the Rfam family "Bacterial small subunit ribosomal RNA", at positions 524 to 776 of the family's 1533-position model. The record is from RNAcentral.
GACGUAGGUGGCGAACGUUAUCCGGAAUUAUUGGGCGUAACGGGUGCGUAGGCGGCAUGAUAAGUUAUUGGCGGCAAAUCGAGGCUCAACCUCGUGGAAACUGAUAAUACUGUCUUGCUUGAGUGCAGAAGAGGUUAACGGAACUCCAUGUGGAGCGGUAAAAUGUGUAGAUAUAUGGAAGAACAUCAAUAACGGCGAAGGCAGUUAACUAUUCUGUUACUGACGUUGAGGCACGAGAGCGUGGGGAGCAAAAAGG